This 386-nucleotide ribosomal RNA is filed under the name uncultured bacterium. Its description in RNAcentral is "bacterial SSU rRNA". It matches the Rfam family "Bacterial small subunit ribosomal RNA", at positions 28 to 412 of the family's 1533-position model. The record is from RNAcentral.
GAUGAACGCUAGCGGCAGGCUUAACACAUGCAAGUCGAGGGGCAGCAUAAUGGAUAGCAAUAUCUAUGGUGGCGACCGGCGCACGGGUGCGUAACGCGUAUGCAACCUACCUUUAACAGGGGGAUAACACUGAGAAAUUGGUACUAAUACCCCAUAAUAUCAUAGAAGGCAUCUUUAUGGUUGAAAAUUCCGAUGGUUAGAGAUGGGCAUGCGUUGUAUUAGCUAGUUGGUGGGGUAACGGCUCACCAAGGCGACGAUACAUAGGGGGACUGAGAGGUUAACCCCCACACUGGUACUGAGACACGGACCAGACUCUACGGAGCAGCAGUGAGGAUAUUGGUCAAUGGAACGCAAGUCUGAACCAGCCAUGACGCGUGCAGGAUGAC